CCCGUCUGACAGCGAAAGAGGAAAAGACAAGCAAAAAGCAACGUCUGGUAAGAUUCCAAAUAAUUUUGAAAAAGUUUCUCAGUUUUGAGCUGAAAGUGAUCUAACUAUUCAAACAUUUGCAUCCGAUGUAUGUAUGUUUCUGAAUAUUUGUUGAUAAAUGUCAUGGUCUCGCCUUGUUUCUCAUUCACAAUAGCUGCAGUUUCUGUGGGAUUGCUUCUGCUGGCUCUGGUUAUAGUGUUAAUCUUAUUCAAACUGAAACACAACAAACAUGACAUUAUUUCAUCAAGAGACAGAAGACAGACAGGGGAUCAUGAAACGACUCAAGAAGACGCCAAGCGCCAUUCAGAUCCUGAAUCAAAUCCUCUCUAUUCAACUGUCCAGUUACCCACAAUCCCCUCUGACUCACAGAAUCCACUUUACUCCACAAUUCAGUCACCCACAAUCCCCUCUGAUGGGCUCCUGUACGCUGCUGUCAGUUUUCAAAAUCAUGAAGAGUCUCUCAGUGAAGCUACAGUCAGAUUCAGUAAAGAGGAGACUCACUGUGAUUACGCAUCUGUCAAUCACAACA
Molecule: long non-coding RNA, 568 nt
Organism: Carassius auratus (goldfish)
Lineage: Eukaryota; Metazoa; Chordata; Actinopteri; Cypriniformes; Cyprinidae
Exons: 3
Source: RefSeq, a predicted model, not a curated record